UACAGAGGGUGCGAGCGUUGUCCGGAAUCACUGGGCGUAAAGGGCGCGUAGGCGGCGCGGUAAGCGUGCGGUGAAAGCCCGGGCUCAACCCCGGGUCGGCCGUGCGGACUGCCGGGCUGGAGCACUGUAGAGGCAGGUGGAAUUCCGGGUGUAGCGGUGGAAUGCGUAGAGAUCCGGAAGAACACCGAUGGCGAAGGCAGCCCCCUGGGCUAACACUGGACGCUCAUGCACGAAAGCGUGGGGAGCAAACAGG
RNAcentral lists this ribosomal RNA (253 nucleotides) under uncultured bacterium. RNAcentral's name for it is "partial 16S ribosomal RNA". It matches the Rfam family "Bacterial small subunit ribosomal RNA", at positions 524 to 776 of the family's 1533-position model. The record is from RNAcentral.